CUUUCUUUAGUCUCUCCCCACACUCCUCACAUGGGGCCUGGUUUCAGAUUACAUUCGGGAAGCUCCUGGGGAGGUUGUGAACCAACAGACCUCCAGAACUUUACGAGAAUAAAUGUGUGUUGUUUUAGGGCACCAAGUUUGUGGUAAUUUGUUACAGCAGCAAUAGGAAACUAAUACAAUCACCAACUUUAGAGUCACUGACAGCGACCCCCUCCAGCUCAGUGUGGAAGAGAAUGAAACAUUCUAGAGGGUGCGACAAACUUCCUCUUAGGAGAAACCCAGGGUGAAGCGGACGUAUUCCAAGCCUGAGUAUGGAGGAGACUGUUGUAUCUGCGAUUCAAGGUGAAGUCUGGAGAUUCAAGCCCCUAACCAGCUAUUAGAAUUCCUGACAGAUGAGCACCCAUCAAGUUACAACUAUUUUUGGAAAAAUUACCCUGGAUAGAAAACUGAAAACUGGAUGAAAGGAACCCCCACAACAAGGGACAGUCCUGACUAAGGUGGAAGAGGCAGAAAUUCCUGCUGGAGAGAAAAAAGCCACCUUCAGGAGCAGCGGAGUUUCUCAGCCGGCCAGGCAGGAGCCACCCUAAGAGAACCGUGACAUGCACAUACGCAGUUGGGUUAAGAAGAGACGGCUUGAUCGUGGACAUAGAAAGUGAAGUUUUCUCAGGGCUUAGCCCAGAUGUCUGUACAGUUUCCCAACUUUCAUGGACUUUUGAGCUUAUUUCAGCCUGACAAUAGUGCAAUGGUUUGGGAGAGGGAGAGAAAGAAAAGGGAUCAUCAUUCACUCAUAAAACAUGCUCCAUGUUACAUGUCUGAAUGUAAAGACAAAUAUGGCAGUAUCACUCUCUUCAAAUGCUUUUGGUCUAGUCAGG
This 872-nucleotide long non-coding RNA is filed under the name Equus caballus (horse). Its description in RNAcentral is "lncRNA (ENSECAG00000052348.1)". The record is from RNAcentral. Lineage: Eukaryota; Metazoa; Chordata; Mammalia; Perissodactyla; Equidae.